This 254-nucleotide ribosomal RNA is filed under the name uncultured prokaryote. RNAcentral's name for it is "partial 16S ribosomal RNA". It matches the Rfam family "Bacterial small subunit ribosomal RNA", at positions 524 to 776 of the family's 1533-position model. The record is from RNAcentral.
UACGGAGGAUCCAAGCGUUAUCCGGAGUGACUGGGCGUAAAGAGUUGCGUAGGUGGUUAGUAAAGUGAAUAGUGAAACCUGAAGGCUCAACCUUCAGACUAUUAUUCAAACUUACUAACUCGAGAAUGGUAGAGGUAACUGGAAUUUCUAGUGUAGGAGUGAAAUCCGUAGAUAUUAGAAGGAACACCAAUGGCGUAGGCAGGUUACUGGACCAUUUCUGACACUAAGGCACGAAAGCGUGGGGAGCGAACCGG